RNAcentral lists this ribosomal RNA (433 nucleotides) under uncultured bacterium. RNAcentral's name for it is "partial 16S ribosomal RNA". It matches the Rfam family "Bacterial small subunit ribosomal RNA", at positions 29 to 507 of the family's 1533-position model. The record is from RNAcentral.
AACGAACGCUGGCGGCAUGCCUAACACAUGCAAGUCGAACGAGACCUUCGGGUCUAGUGGCGCACGGGUGCGUAACGCGUGGGAACCUGCCCUUAGGUUCGGAAUAACUCCCCGAAAGGGGUGCUAAUACCGGAUAAUGUCUUCGGACCAAAGAUUUAUCGCCUUUGGAUGGGCCCGCGUUGGAUUAGCCAGUUGGUAGGGUAAAAGCCUACCAAGGCGACGACCCAUAGCUGGUCUGAGAGGAUGAUCAGCCACACUGGGACUGAGACACGGCCCAGACUCCUACGGGAGGCAGCAGUGGGGAAUAUUGGACAAUGGGCGAAAGCCUGAUCCAGCAAUGCCGCGUGAGUGAUGAAGGCCUUAGGGUUGUAAAGCUCUUUUACCCGGGAUGAUAAUGACAGUACCGGGAGAAUAAGCUCCGGCUAACUCCGUG